UUCGAGAUCGAUGCUAAAAACCGGUUAUUUUCUAAGUGGUUGAUGUAUACUUUGCUCUCUUGGACGGCCAUUUUGCACUAGUGGAUCGGGUUCAAUUCCUGAGGCCCCCAGAUUAGGCACAUUUACGACUUAAUUGGGUCAACAAAUUGUGUUUCUGUGUUUUAUAAUUUGUGAUUAAUGGUUUCUUUGUAUUUUAUGUGAUUAUAGAGUUUUGCACCAAAUAACCCAACAAAAAUGGUAUCAGAGCUGGGCCAAAAUUUUGUUUUGG
Molecule: long non-coding RNA, 268 nt
Filed under: Olea europaea (common olive)
Lineage: Eukaryota; Viridiplantae; Streptophyta; Magnoliopsida; Lamiales; Oleaceae
Description: long non-coding RNA (OEUR_LNC007931)
Source: RNAcentral